UACAGAGGGUGCAAGCGUUAAUCGGAAUUACUGGGCGUAAAGGGUGCGUAGGCGGCCUCGCAAGUCAGAUGUGAAAGCCCCGGGCUUAACCUGGGAACUGCAUUUGAAACUGCAAGGCUAGAGUAUGGGAGAGGUAAGCGGAAUUCCGAGUGUAGAGGUGAAAUUCGUAGAUAUUCGGAAGAACAUCAAUGGCGAAGGCAGCUUACUGGACCAUCACUGACGCUGAGGCACGAAAGCGUGGGGAGCAAACAGG
This 253-nucleotide ribosomal RNA is filed under the name uncultured bacterium. RNAcentral's name for it is "partial 16S ribosomal RNA". It matches the Rfam family "Bacterial small subunit ribosomal RNA", at positions 524 to 776 of the family's 1533-position model. The record is from RNAcentral.